Long non-coding RNA from Capsella rubella, 818 nucleotides. RefSeq lists it as uncharacterized. The transcript is spliced from 6 exons. The record is from RefSeq and is a predicted model, not a curated record. Lineage: Eukaryota; Viridiplantae; Streptophyta; Magnoliopsida; Brassicales; Brassicaceae.
GAAACCAAACCAUUCCAAAUCUUCAAAAGUCUCUGUUUUUUUUUCUUCCUCAAAAGCUCCAGUGUAAGCAAAUCACAAAUCAUCAUUAUUCAAAGAAGAAAACUCUCGAAAUGUGGAAGACUGUUACUACGGAGGGGAGAAGAAAAAGUUGCAGACUUUGGAAUUUUGUUCCAAAUGCUCUCUGAUUUGUGGAAGCUGUUUCGAAAAGCCGGAGACUUUUAGAGAAUAGUUUCAUGAUCAACUCAAAUCAUCUCAAACGAUCAACUCUCUCUGAUUUGUUCCAGUCGCCGGAAAAAAGUGUGGAAGUUGUUUCACAAAGACGGAGACUUAUUAGAUCAUCUCAAACGAUCAAUCGCCGGAUAAAAAAUGUGGAAGUCGUUUCAAAACGGAGGAGACUUAUGGAAUGAUCAUGAUCAACUUAACGAUCUCAAAUAGUGACAAAUUUAGUCAUUCAAUAUCGUUGUAAAAGAACAUCAAAUACCAAUAUGGUAAAAUUAAGGGGAAGCACAAUUGGCAAAGUCAGCUCUGGAUUUGGGGUUUGCUCGUCUCUGGUCUCGGUUCUCAGAAAAAAGAAAGAACGAGAAAUAUCAGAAGGAAAGAAUAGAAGGAAAUGGAAAUGAUAGAAGGAAAUGGAGUCUGCUCGGGUCUCAGGAAAAAGAUUGAGAUGAUAGACACUGCAACUAACUUCGGCGACAAAAAUAGGAUACUCUGUUACUCCUUAUUAUAUUUUGGUAACCAACCAAUGAAGAAAUUUUUUCUAAUCAAUCUCUAUUUUUAUGGACAGUUGAUAUUAAUUCUAAAAGAAAUUUUAAAAGGCA